UUCUGCCCCACUCUUUGAUGGAAGGGCACAAAAAAGCCGCAAGAGCCUGGUGGGUGCUGCCUGAGCACAGGGGGCAAUGCAGGAGGCUGUUCUCUACCUGCUGGCCUUAAGACUUCCCUCUGAACGGUCCCCUCCCCUUGUGCAGCUCUACGGAGAGUGUGGGUCACAUUUUAGGAAUAUUUCACAGACACCUCCCUUCCUAUGUGUGAUUCCAUGGACCAUCUAUACAUAGAUUUUAUGCUACCACCUAUCACUGUAGUGGAUUUUGUGUAGUCUCUGGCACUUCUGCCUUUUCAAGUGCAAUUUAGCAGCUGAAAUGGAUGAGGACAGCCAACACCACAUGGGCAGUCAUUUCUUUGCAGACCACCAGUGGCAUAUGGACCACAGCUUGAGAACCUCUGGUGGACAUGGACUGUAAUAUCUAGCCAUUGCAAUAUUCUCGAGGUCAGUGUGAUCUGACUCCACAGUAUAAAGUAUUCUGUGUGCUGGUCUAUUCUGUUCAAGCUGCAUUUAUUUAAAAAAA
Long non-coding RNA from Terrapene triunguis (Three-toed box turtle), 523 nucleotides. RefSeq lists it as uncharacterized. The transcript has 3 exons. Lineage: Eukaryota; Metazoa; Chordata; Testudines; Emydidae. The record is from RefSeq and is a predicted model, not a curated record.